This 292-nucleotide ribosomal RNA is filed under the name uncultured bacterium. RNAcentral's name for it is "partial 16S ribosomal RNA". It matches the Rfam family "Bacterial small subunit ribosomal RNA", at positions 505 to 796 of the family's 1533-position model. The record is from RNAcentral.
GUUACAGCAGCCGCGGUAAUACAGAGGGGGCAAGCGUUGUUCGGAAUUACUGAGCGUAAAGGGCGCGUAGGCGGCCUUCUAAGUCGAACGUGAAAUCCCUGGGCUCAACCCAGGAACUGCGUCCGAUACUGGUUGGCUUGAAUCCGGGAGAGGGAUGUGGAAUUCCAGGUGUAGCGGUGGAAUGCGUAGAUAUCUGGAGGAACACCGGUGGCGAAGGCGGCAUCCUGGACCGGUAUUGACGCUGAGGAGCGAAAGCCAGGGGAGCAAACGGGAUUAGAAACCCUAGUAGUCC